RNAcentral lists this transfer RNA (68 nucleotides) under Undinula vulgaris. RNAcentral's name for it is "tRNA-Gln". The record is from RNAcentral. Lineage: Eukaryota; Metazoa; Arthropoda; Copepoda; Calanoida; Calanidae.
UAUAUAUUAUUGUAUCAGCAUGAGAAAUUUUGAGUUUCUAGGACAUAAUUAAUUAUUAUGAUAUAUAU